CUGCUGCUGCUCGGUGCGUGAGUCGUCUAGAUCCCUGGGGCCGAUUAUCACCUCUAGGGAGCUGUCCCUGCCGGGGCCGUGGUCCCGGUAUAUGGCGCCCACCUGCGCAAGCAGGCCCGAGAGGACUCUGUGACCACGGCCGAUGCGGCAGCACC
RNAcentral lists this non-coding RNA (155 nucleotides) under Pseudomonadota bacterium. Its description in RNAcentral is "Proteobacteria bacterium (cold seep metagenome) 6S RNA". It matches the Rfam family "6S / SsrS RNA". Rfam says of the family: E. coli 6S RNA was the first non coding RNA to be sequenced, but its function was unknown until recently. It consists of 184 nucleotides that fold into an extended hairpin structure with a large single-stranded internal bulge. The record is from RNAcentral. Lineage: Bacteria; Pseudomonadati; Pseudomonadota.